UGGAAGCGUCUGGAAAGGCGUGCGAUACAGGGUGACAGCCCCGUACACAAAAAUGCACAUAUUGUGAGCUUGAUGAGUAGGGCGGGACACGUGGUAUCCUGUCUGAAUAUGGGGGGACCAUCCUCCAAGGCUAAAUACUCCUGACUGACCGAUAGUGAACCAGUACCGUGAGGGAAAGGCGAAAAGAACCCCGGCGAGGGGAGUGAAAAAGAACCUGAAACCGUGUACGUACAAGCAGUGGGAGCACGCUUAGGCGUGUGACUGCGUACCUUUUGUAUAAUGGGUCAGCGACUUAUAUUCUGUAGCAAGGUUAACCGAAUAGGGGAGCCGAAGGGAAACCGAGUCUUAACUGGGCGUUAAGUUGCAGGGUAUAGACCCGAAACCCGGUGAUCUAGCCAUGGGCAGGUUGAAGGUUGGGUAACACUAACUGGAGGACCGAACCGACUAAUGUUGAAAAAUUAGCGGAUGACUUGUGGCUGGGGGUGAAAGGCCAAUCAAACCGGGAGAUAGCUGGUUCUCCCCGAAAGCUAUUUAGGUAGCGCCUCGUGAAUUCAUCUCCGGGGGUAGAGCACUGUUUCGGCA
Molecule: ribosomal RNA, 582 nt
Filed under: Shigella sonnei
Lineage: Bacteria; Pseudomonadati; Pseudomonadota; Gammaproteobacteria; Enterobacterales; Enterobacteriaceae
Description: partial 23S ribosomal RNA
Rfam family: Bacterial large subunit ribosomal RNA
Source: RNAcentral